Non-coding RNA from Lactuca sativa (garden lettuce), 2232 nucleotides. The record is from RefSeq and is a predicted model, not a curated record. NCBI's taxonomy places the organism in Eukaryota, Viridiplantae, Streptophyta, Magnoliopsida, Asterales, Asteraceae.
AGUUUUUGCUGUUGAUUGGACCAAAAUUUUAACGAUAUGUGUUCCUUUAAUCCGUUCUUCUCUUUCUACGUGUUUCUCCUAUAGCCGCUUCUCCUUCCAAUAACAAACCACCGCUAUGACAUUCACCGCCAUAUUACUUGAAGAUGCUGAAGAACCCACCACCGAUCCAUCUUACUUUAACCCUCCACCGAUUGAUUCGCUCUCUAGAAUUUUGGCUUUUUCCAUUAUCUAUCGAUUCUUCUCCAUCUAGCCCUUCCUACCUCCUCUUCCACAACCCUUUCUCUCCCUUGGUUGACUAAAGAUCCACAGUCGCUUGAGGUAAGUUCCUUCAACCGUAUUUCUGUUAACAUCCACUAAUCCAUAUUUCUAUUUGUUCUUUUGUUACAGUUUCUUUUCGCCCUUCCUCUCUUCUAAUGGCUUCGCCGCUUCAGCUUCGAUCAGACUAGGGCCACAUAAGCUAUCGUUGGUUUCUUCAUUUCAUCAUCAGCCAACAUAAAAAAAAUAUGCGUCCAUUUCGGUUUGUCGCUUGCUUUCUGAAGUGUGAGACACGAUUCUAGGUUCAACAAACAUUCACCGCUACCGCUUCUUUCGUCUUUGGUUUUCACAAUUUCAUACUUUUGGGUUUCUGCUUCUUUGAAAACCGAGGGCUUACUUAAUUUGACGAACUAAUUUAUUGCAGAAGCUAAACCUGUAUUCUUUCUUUCAGUGGGCGACAUUUAUGCAACCUGCAAACAGAAGUGUGCUGCAACCAGUCCCAACUGCGACUCAUUUUUCAUUCCUUUUUAACCUAUUUUUGUUUGUUCCUUCAUUCUAAUACAUUAGUAUUAAUGAUGAAUUUGACUAAUUUGUUAACUUAUUAAUGGGUGUGUGAAACACAGAACCUCAGAUAUUUAGUUGGUAAAUUGAAGUUACAUAUUAGAAAAUUAACAUCAGGAAGAAUUUAGUCCAUUUUUCAUGGACUGUCGCCUGUAGCAAAGAAGGUUAAUAGAUCAUACAGGUAAAAGUGAAGGUUACUAAUUGUAUAUGGCCCACAUAAGCUAUCGGUAGGGUUGAGUUUUGGGUUUAUGAUGUGGUUUUAAGUGUACAAAUGUUCAAUCAGCCAUGUACUCUCGAUUUACUUACUCAACUUUGUUUUUCUUUCGUAUUUUAGAAUUGUUUACCAAUCUUCUUCCUCAUGUUUGAAACUUAUGUUGUGUUACUCAUCACAGCUUCGUUUACCCUAAUUACCAGCUUUUAUUCCCCCCUUAGUUCAUAACCAAAUUUAUAUGAACUCCAAUUUUAUUUUGCUGUAGUCAACUUCAACCUCCCAACAACCCAAAAUUCAUGUGUUUAACAGAAAUUCAAUCAGACUAGGCCCACAUAGAUGAGCAGGAAACUUGGAGAAAUUGUUGGUGAGAAAGCUGGUAUCUUUAAGAAAGGUGUUCCAGCAUUUACUUUAAAGAAAAAGCCUCCCAGUUAGAUGUGAAUCUUGAAGUGGCAAACAUGUUGGAUAGUAAAUUGCUAAAUGGAUUACAUUUAGGGCUUGCAGGGGAUCACCAAUAUAUAAAUGCAGGGCUAGCCAUUAUGUUAAGCUCCACAUGGCUCCAAAGGACAGGUAAUUUGGAACUUCAGACUGUAAGUUUAUGUUAAAAAUGAAACAUUUGUCAGCAUAUGUUUAGUAAAUCUUUCAAAAAGAAAAUUUUCCAUUUUUUUUGUGGUUGGAUACAAAAUUAUUUGUCUGAGAGAUUCAUCAAGGGACUAACAAGUGCAAAAUUACAAGGAAGAGCUCAGAUUAUUCCUGACAAUGUAUGUGAAGGUGAUGUGGUGUUUUAUUAAGAUGGAGCACAUAGUCCUGAAAGCAUGGAAGUCUCUGCAAAUUGGUUUUCCAUAGCAGUUGGUGGUGACAACUUCAGGAAGGACUCUGCACAGAUAUUAUUGUUCAAUUAUAUGUCGGUGAGGGACCUACAAGAUGUAUCCAAAAGGGCAAGCUAGAGGGAGGCAUAGGUUACAUCUCAAACAGAUCAUACAAGCUGGAAAUUACCAAAAUUAUCUUCCAUAAUAGCAGAUGGUUUGUAUAAUUUUUUUUUUAUGUUAUAAUGAUGCAAGCCAAAAUCCCUUAGUCUAUAACUAUCUUAAAUCAUUAUACUUUCAAUUUGAACAUAAAAACAUUGUAAUUUGGGUUGGAUUUCAAGUGAUUCCAGCUUAUAAGUCCUUUUCAUCGUCACUUAAUGGAUUAAGAUGUCAUUUAACUCA